This 481-nucleotide ribosomal RNA is filed under the name uncultured bacterium. RNAcentral's name for it is "partial 16S ribosomal RNA". It matches the Rfam family "Bacterial small subunit ribosomal RNA", at positions 28 to 507 of the family's 1533-position model. The record is from RNAcentral.
GAUGAACGCUGGCGGCGUGCUUAACACAUGCAAGUCGAACGAAGCACUUUAUUUGAUUUCCUUCGGGACUGAUUAUUUUGUGACUGAGUGGCGGACGGGUGAGUAACGCGUGGGUAACCUGCCUUGUACAGGGGGAUAACAGUUGGAAACGGCUGCUAAUACCGCAUAAGCGCACAGCAUCGCAUGAUGCAGUGUGAAAAACUCCGGUGGUAUAAGAUGGACCCGCGUUGGAUUAGCUAGUUGGUGAGGUAACGGCCCACCAAGGCGACGAUCCAUAGCCGACCUGAGAGGGUGACCGGCCACAUUGGGACUGAGACACGGCCCAAACUCCUACGGGAGGCAGCAGUGGGGAAUAUUGCACAAUGGGCGAAAGCCUGAUGCAGCGACGCCGCGUGAGCGAAGAAGUAUUUCGGUAUGUAAAGCUCUAUCAGCAGGGAAGAUAAUGACGGUCCCUGACGAAGAAGCACCGGCUAAAUACGUG